This 228-nucleotide ribosomal RNA is filed under the name uncultured bacterium. RNAcentral's name for it is "partial 16S ribosomal RNA". It matches the Rfam family "Bacterial small subunit ribosomal RNA", at positions 568 to 795 of the family's 1533-position model. The record is from RNAcentral.
UCCGUAGGCGGGCAAUUAAGUCAGAGGUGAAAUCCCACAGCUCAACUGUGGAACUGCCUUUGAUACUGGUUGUCUUGAGUUAUAGUGAAGUAGAUAGAAUAUGUAGUGUAGCGGUGAAAUGCAUAGAUAUUACAUAGAAUACCGAUUGCGAAGGCAGUCUACUAACUGUAUACUGACGCUAAGGGACGAAAGCGUGGGGAGCGAACAGGAUUAGAUACCCUGGUAGUC